CAAUGUUAAAUUCCUUUUUGUCAAACCCAUUCAUGAAUCCGUUUGGGUUACAAGUACCACCAAUACUAGGACAAAAUGCAAACUUGAUAGCUCAGAUGCCUCAAGUUUCUACAAUGAAUCCAGCUUCACAAAUGAACAUGAAUAUGUUUGGUCGUUAUUAUGGAAUGACCCUUCCGCAAGGCCAAACCAACCACUCGCCAGCAGUAUCUCCUAUAGGUCAAAAUGCCAAUCCCGCAUCUUCAGCUCCUUCACAACCUGAUUCUGCGAUGUGGUUUAAUCAGCUUAAUUCCGCACAGCAGUUAAUGCCUAAUCAUGAUCAACUAGUGCAACAACCAGCAACUUCGGACUCUUUUAACACAUCUCGAGCAGAUGAAGACACCUCCCUUAUUAGCGAGACCACAAGCAAACAAACAGAAAAUCUGCUCGAAGUCUCAUCGAGCAGCAACAAGACAUCCAGCUAAUGUAAAAAAGUCUCUAAAGUU
This 482-nucleotide small nuclear RNA is filed under the name Cryptosporidium parvum. The record is from RNAcentral. Lineage: Eukaryota; Apicomplexa; Conoidasida; Eucoccidiorida; Cryptosporidiidae.